ACAAAAUGUUUGAUGGUUAAAAUAUUACUACACAAUUCGUUAUCUGUCUCACAUGACUGGUUAAGAUGUUAAGCUUAAACUUAUUAACCCACAUGGGUGUUGAGUCAACAGCUUUAACCAACGUGAGGUUUCCAAGUUUCCUCUAAACACACAUAACAGCAAUGUUCACUUAAACUUGGUCAGUUGUUUUCAAAUGUCUACAUGUGUCAGAGGACAUCGGUCAGUGUGGAUUAAUCUGUUUUGGUCAUGGAUAAUCUUCAGCUGUAUCCCGUUUAUGUAGUUAUUGCUGUAUUAUUUCAUCUAGGAGUGGCUGCAUUUCUUUUCUCUAUCAGAAACAAAGAUUAUUGGAAUGAUGAAGAAAAGGCUGACAUAAAAACAAUCCCAUGUUGAAGAAAACUUCAUGCUUAUUAUGUCUAAAAAACUAAAAACUGUGUCUGGUUGUUUGUUGGCUUGAUGUAUUUGUAUAAUUUAAGCCAAAAGCCAAUGGAGGUUUUGAAGGCUUGUAAAAGCACAACAACUUAUAAUGGGUUCUUGGUACAAAACAUCUUCAUGUUACCACUAAUUUUCAACUUUUACCAACAAUUAAAACCCAAGACACUUAUAUCAAGGAUUAUUUUCCUUGGUGAUAGGUCAGGAGAAAGUUUGUGUGCCUAUUUUAGCAUGUAAAUAAAUUACUCGGUACUGUAAAAAAAAUAUAUAUGUGUGUAUCGUGCAUUGAUGUGAAUAAAACUGCUUGACUUUCAGCAGCGUGAGUUAAAAUUAGUUGUGAUAUCCAUCAUUUUGACCAUUAGAUGUGCAGGGCAUCGGCCGUCCUUCAACCCAACCCAUGACCCUGACCUCAACCCCUCUGUAAUAAAUGAAUUAAUUUAUCAGAGAACCUGUGAAUAAGACCAUCAUUUGUGUUUUUUUAUUUCCUUAUUAUCUUUUUAUUUUAUUCUUAAA
Misgurnus anguillicaudatus (oriental weatherfish) is the source of this 942-nucleotide long non-coding RNA. RefSeq lists it as uncharacterized. Lineage: Eukaryota; Metazoa; Chordata; Actinopteri; Cypriniformes; Cobitidae. The record is from RefSeq and is a predicted model, not a curated record.